Molecule: transfer RNA, 74 nt
Filed under: Candidatus Magasanikiibacteriota bacterium
Lineage: Bacteria; Candidatus Magasanikiibacteriota
Description: Candidatus Magasanikbacteria bacterium tRNA-Val
Rfam family: tRNA
About the family: Transfer RNA (tRNA) molecules are approximately 80 nucleotides in length. Their secondary structure includes four short double-helical elements and three loops (D, anti-codon, and T loops). Further hydrogen bonds mediate the characteristic L-shaped molecular structure. tRNAs have two regions of fundamental functional importance: the anti-codon, which is responsible for specific mRNA codon recognition, and the 3' end, to which the tRNAs corresponding amino acid is attached (by aminoacyl-tRNA synthetases). tRNAs cope with the degeneracy of the genetic code in two manners: having more than one tRNA (with a specific anti-codon) for a particular amino acid; and 'wobble' base-pairing, i.e. permitting non-standard base-pairing at the 3rd anti-codon position.
Source: RNAcentral
GGGCGGCUAGCUCACUUGGUUAGAGCGUCACAUUGACAUUGUGAAGGUAACAGGUUCGAUUCCUGUGCCGCCCA